This 116-nucleotide ribosomal RNA is filed under the name Lancefieldella rimae. Its description in RNAcentral is "partial 23S ribosomal RNA". It matches the Rfam family "Bacterial large subunit ribosomal RNA", at positions 2798 to 2925 of the family's 2925-position model. The record is from RNAcentral. Lineage: Bacteria; Bacillati; Actinomycetota; Coriobacteriia; Coriobacteriales; Atopobiaceae.
CCCAAGAUGAGUUUUCCUUUCGGUAAGACCCCUUGUAGACUACGAGGUUGAUAGGUUGCAGAUGUACGUGCGGCAACGCAUUUAGUCGAGCAAUACUAAUCGGUCGAGCUCUUCUU